UGAGUAAUGCAUAGAUAAUGUGCCCAUUAGUUCGGGAUAGCCACUGGAAACGGUGAUUAAUACCGGAUACUCCUUCUUGUUAUAAGACAAGUCGGGAAAGUUUUUCGCUAAGGGAUCAGUCUAUGUUCCAUCAGCUUGUUGGUGAGGUAAUGGCUCACCAAGGCUAUGACGGAUAUCUGGUUUGAGAGGAUGAUCAGACACACUGGAACUGAGACACGGUCCAGACUCCUACGGGAGGCAGCAGUGAGGAAUAUUGCACAAUGGAGGAAACUCUGAUGCAGCAACGCCGCGUGGAGGAUGACGCAUUUCGGUGUGUAAACUCCUUUUAUUAGGGAAGAUAAUGACGGUACCUAAUGAAUAAGCACCGGCUAACUCCGUGCCAGCAGCCGCGGUAAUACGGAGGGUGCAAGCGUUACUCGGAAUCACUGGGCGUAAAGGGUGCGUAGGCUGGCUUUUAAGUCAGAUGUGAAAUCCAAUGGCUCAACCAUUGAACUGCAUUUGAAACUGAAAGCCUAGAGUUCAGAAGGGGCAGAUGGAAUUAGUGGUGUAGGGGUAAAAUCCGUAGAUAUCACUAGGAAUAUCAAAAGCGAAGGCGAUCU
Molecule: ribosomal RNA, 599 nt
Filed under: uncultured bacterium
Lineage: Bacteria
Description: bacterial SSU rRNA
Rfam family: Bacterial small subunit ribosomal RNA
Source: RNAcentral